UUCGGCAAACGGAUGCGACCAGCUCCUGCUGAAUCCCCCAGGACCGGAAGGUAGCAAGGGUAGGCGGUUGUAGCGGUGCGACAUUUCGUUUGCCUUUUUU
This 100-nucleotide signal recognition particle RNA is filed under the name Marinoscillum furvescens DSM 4134. Its description in RNAcentral is "Bacterial small signal recognition particle RNA". It matches the Rfam family "Bacteroidales small SRP". Rfam says of the family: The non-coding component of the signal recognition particle in Bacteroides Lineage: Bacteria; Pseudomonadati; Bacteroidota; Cytophagia; Cytophagales; Reichenbachiellaceae. The record is from RNAcentral.